GGAUGAACGCUGGCGGCGUGCCUAAUACAUGCAAGUCGAGCGAACAGAUGAGGAGCUUGCUCCUCUGACGUUAGCGGCGGACAGGUGAGUAACACGUGGAUAACCUACCUAUAAGACUGGGAUAACUACGGGAAACCGGAGCUAAUACCGGAUAAUAUAUUGAACCGCAUGGUUCAAUAGUGAAAGACGGUUUUGCUGUCACUUAUAGAUGGAUCCGCGCCGCAUUAGCUAGUUGGUAAGGUAACGGCUUACCAAGGCAACGAUGCGUAGCCGACCUGAGAGGGUGAUCGGCCACACUGGAACUGAGACACGGUCCAGACUCCUACGGGAGGCAGCAGUAGGGAAUCUUCCGCAAUGGGCGAAAGCCUGACGGAGCAACGCCGCGUGAGUGAUGAAGGUCUUCGGAUCGUAAAACUCUGUUAUUAGGGAAGAACAAAUGUGUAAGUAACUAUGCACGUCUUGACGGUACCUAAUCAGAAGGCCACGGCUAACUACGUG
Molecule: ribosomal RNA, 498 nt
Filed under: uncultured bacterium
Lineage: Bacteria
Description: partial 16S ribosomal RNA
Rfam family: Bacterial small subunit ribosomal RNA
Source: RNAcentral